This 538-nucleotide long non-coding RNA is filed under the name Parus major (Great Tit). RNAcentral's name for it is "lncRNA (ENSPMJG00000007125.1)". The record is from RNAcentral. Lineage: Eukaryota; Metazoa; Chordata; Aves; Passeriformes; Paridae.
AGUGAUUCAUUUAGAAGAGGUUUGAACCCUAACUUUCCUCUUUUUUCCAUCUCUUUUACUAUAGCCUUAAAAAGUUCAGUUGAAAUUCAGAACACUGCAGCUAAUGAGUGAAUUACAGUGGAAUGGCUGCUCAAAAUUUUCCAGAAGAAGCGUAACCAAGAGGUCGACUCCACUAUACCAGCAGACUGGUAGAUUCCCUAAAGAAAGAUACUCCCCUCCUUGGAGAACUUGUGAUUUGAAAGUCAGACAAGAAGCUCUGAACAGAGACACAGGCAGAAACGGUGGGGUGUUUCUGCUUGGUGCUCUGGGAGCAAACCUGAUGAAGGAAAAUGGAUUGCGAAUAACACUGUUGCCUUUUGAUGUAGUUUUGUGGAAAUGCACCUCAGCAAAGCACAGAGUUAAGAAUGACAAGGGUGAGUGAAGGGAAUUAUUUAACCUGGUCACACUUGUGUGGGAUGCAAGGGAGAAAUCUCAGUGAUCAAAGGGUUACAAGCCCUAGACCAGGUGAUGACAUGUCUGUUGUGUGGUGAUCUCAAAG